CCUACGGGUGGCAGCAGUGGGGGAUAUUGGACAAUGGGGGAAACCCUGAACCAGCAACGCCGCGUGAGGGAAGACGGCUUUCGGGUUGUAAACCUCAGUGAUCAGGGAUGAAACAAAUGACAGUACCUGAAAAGCAAGACCCGGCUAACUACGUGCCAGAAGCCGCGGUAAUACGUAGGGAGCAAGCGUUGUCCGGAUUUAUUGGGUGUAAAGGGUGCGUAGGCGGGAACACAAGUCAGGCGUGAACUACCGGGGCUCAACUCCGGGGCUGCGCUUGAAACUGUGUUUCUUGAGUGAAGUAGAGGCAGGCGGAAUUCCUAGUGUAGCGGUGGAAUGCGUAGAUAUUAGGAGGAACACCAGUGGCGAAGGCGGAUUGCUGGACAGUAACUGACGCUGAGGCGCGAAAGCGUGGGGAGCAAACAGGAUUAGAUACCCUAGUAGUC
This 443-nucleotide ribosomal RNA is filed under the name uncultured bacterium. RNAcentral's name for it is "partial 16S ribosomal RNA". It matches the Rfam family "Bacterial small subunit ribosomal RNA", at positions 338 to 795 of the family's 1533-position model. The record is from RNAcentral.